CCUACGGGGGGCAGCAGUGAGGAAUAUUGGUCAAUGGACGAGAGUCUGAACCAGCCAAGUAGCGUGAAGGAUGACUGCCCUAUGGGUUGUAAACUUCUUUUAUAAAGGAAUAAAACGAGGCACGUGUGCCUUUUUGCAUGUACUUUAUGAAUAAGGAUCGGCUAACUCCGUGCCAGCAGCCGCGGUAAUACGGAGGAUCCGAGCGUUAUCCGGAUUUAUUGGGUUUAAGGGGAGCGUAGAUGGGUUGUUAAGUCAGUGGUGAAAGUUUGCGGCUCAACCGUAAAAUUGCAAUUGAUACUGGCAGUCUUGAGUACAGUUGAGGUAGGCGGAAUUCGUGGUGUAGCGGUGAAAUGCUUAGAUAUCACGAAGAACCCCGAUUGCGAAGGCAGCUUACUAAACUGUGACUGACAUUGAUGCUCGAAAGUGUGGGUAGCAAACAGGAUUAGAUACCCUAGUAGUC
This 460-nucleotide ribosomal RNA is filed under the name uncultured bacterium. Its description in RNAcentral is "partial 16S ribosomal RNA". It matches the Rfam family "Bacterial small subunit ribosomal RNA", at positions 338 to 795 of the family's 1533-position model. The record is from RNAcentral.